RNAcentral lists this ribosomal RNA (207 nucleotides) under uncultured bacterium. Its description in RNAcentral is "partial 16S ribosomal RNA". It matches the Rfam family "Bacterial small subunit ribosomal RNA", at positions 568 to 774 of the family's 1533-position model. The record is from RNAcentral.
CGCGUAGGCGGGCCGUCAAGUCAGGGGUGAAAGCCCCCAGCUCAACUGGGGAAGUGCCUUUGAUACUGACGGCCUCGAGGGAGGUAGGGGCGUGCGGAACUUCCGGUGGAGCGGUGAAAUGCGUAGAUAUCGGAAGGAACACCGGUGGCGAAAGCGGCGCGCUGGACCUCUUCUGACGCUGAGGCGCGAAAGCCAGGGGAGCGAACG